UUCUUUUCUCCCGUCCAUCUGUGAAAUUGAAAACCAAAUUUGAAAUUUCCAAAUCCAAUUAACCCUAAAUCUUCCCCCUAUGCUCACGGCGGAGGCAGCUGCUCAGGUACACGAGGGCAUAAAUUUGGCGAUCUCCCGAUGGGCUUCUCUUCGAAUGGCUGUCGAGAAUGAGUGGGGGCGGUUGUGAUUCUGCCCAGAAAUCCCAACAACUCGCCCCAAGUUAUCUUUCACACCUCGUUCAAUCCAAAGGUAUUUUCUUUAUUCGUAUUUCAUUGAAGGAUUGAUAUCUUCGUGCUUGUACUUUUCUACCAACGCCAAGUAAAAUAUAUCUUCUUUAAGAUGUUAAUGUUUAUCGUUAAGCUUUUCUGCAAUCUUAAUAACUCGAGGGCUGUCAACAAUUUGAAUAACAAAGUUAUGCUGAGCAACUUCUUAAAUUACUUUCUUAACUUCUAUAACAGCAACUUCUAAAACCUGCUCAGCACUAACACACACACACACAGAGAAGAGGGACGGGACCUGCAGAAAUCGGAGAAGGGGGAAUUACGGAAGGCAGAGCGAGAGGAAGAGCGAGAAUUGGCUCCCCAACCCAUGCCUAGGGUUUUCUGGGUUGUAUUCUUCUUCUUCUUAUCAUUCUUCGUACUUUUAGCACCACUGCUACUGGUUUUGUUAGAAGGAUUAGAAGAGAUUGAAUUGAAGCCCCGUUUCGAAUUCGAAACAGAGUUUCCGGAGCGAGUCGAAUCGAAACUCAUCUUCACGAAUCACGAAUUAUGCAAUUGCAUUUUGAGAUGUUCAGAGAUUAAAAAAUAUUAAGAAACUUGCAGAGAAUGCAUUUGAAAUGAAUAGGAAAUUUUCUUAUAAUUUUGAGUUUACAUUUAACCACCGAUCGACCAUUUGCGGGAGCGGGACGAGAUUGCCUGCAGUGCUAUGCGGUGCAAUGUUUUGAUCACUAUAUUCCAUAGAAAAAAUAUAUGAAAAAGGAAAAAAGAAAAAGAACUAAAAAUUUAGCCCCUGGUUGGCCUUCAUUAAUUUCUAUUUCAUUAAAUUUCUUUUUUUUCUCUCCUACUUUUAACCACACAAUCUUCCAUAAAAUAAUAUUACACGUAAAGCGAAAAAUUUUCUUUCUUUUUCAACUACUCAUUUUUCACAAAAACAAUAUUCCACCCAUUAAAUUUUCUACAAAAUGGGGGCCAAACCGGGGCUUAAUCACUAUAUUUGGGUGGGGGCCAACACAUUCAAUCUACGUUAAGUAAGCUAAAAGCCAUUAUCUCGGCCAAAUAAAAAAUAAUAAAACCUUAUAAUUAUGCAAGAGAAAAGUUGUUCAAUUAAUCUUUAAAUAUUUUUCCAGAUUUUAUUCCUAUCUUGGUUGCCAAACAUUAAUGAAAAACAAGUGUGAAUUAAGGUUCUUUACCUUAAAUAGAUAUUUCUUUCCAUUUUGUAUUAAUUAAUUUUAGGACAAAUUAUUCUUGAUGAUUUAUAUAAUUAAGGCCUUAAAAAACUCGAUGGUGUCAUAAUUUAUAUACAUUAGCGCCAACGGGUCUUUGUUCAUAUAUAUGUGAUUCCCGAAUCAAACAUUAUUUUUAAAACAAUAUACAAAUUCAAACACAACCUAAGUGAGAUUCUAUAUUUAUUAAACAAACCUCAUGGGGCUGCAAUUUCUUGCCGUAGAAAACAUUAGGUUGAAUCCCUCCCUUCAUCAUCUCAUCAUCCACAAGUUUGCUGUAGAAGACAACAUCUGCUCAUUUUGCCUGACCAAUAUAAUUGUCAUCUACUCAAGAACAUUUGAAAUUUUGGCAUGCUUAUAAAAGAUUAAUAAUGGAUGAUCUCGUUGAACUAUAUUGUUGUGGUUGGACAACAAGCAUGAUCUACAUGAUAUUAGCAUUAGAGGAUAAUAAUAAUUAAUAUUUUUUCCUGUUAGUUAUUUGUUAGAUAUAUUUCAUGUUCAGUAAAUAUCUAUUAGAUGCACAGGUUUGAAUGAGAAGUUUCCAAAUAUCAACUAAUACCUGUCUUUUCAUCUUUUUGUUUAUGUGGAAACUGUAUUCAGAUGGUAGAAAAGUUGAUCAAUGAGCAUGAAGAAUGUGUAGAAGGUAAAUUUAACUCAAUUAAAAGCCUAAAGGAAACAAAUGCUCCAAGCGUAUCUUUUGUCAGACACGUAACUAUCACUCUCUAAUGACCGAAUAAGUUUUCAUUAUUUGGAUCAAUAUUUUUGCUAUUAAUGAAUUGAGUUUGUUGUUUAUUAAAUGACAACCUUAGAAUGUUUUCUAAGAAGAAAUGAUAAAUAUAUGAGCAUGUUUUCGAAUUGUGAUGUAAAUAUUGAUCAUGCAAGUUUGAUCCAUAUCUUAUCAUUAGCUAAAUAUGAUUGGAGACCAGUUAGAUGACUGUAUAUACAUUUUUAGCCCCUGAUUGGUAGAAAUCAUUUGUUAUCUCUUGAAACCAAUCCACACAUAAGGCCAUACCAAAUUUAUCAACACCACCGCUUACACUCCAUAGAUUAGCCACUAUGUUAGGAGAACCUAUUGAUGAAUACAAAAUAGGAGCACCUUCCGGGGUGUAAAGCCCAUUUAGUUUUAGUUCACCACUUUCGCAUCCUAAUAGUAUUGUAGCCGCACAACCAUUGAGUUCUUGAAUUUUUUCUUUAAGGUCAAUGUUCAACUAUAAAAUGACAAGGUAAAAAUGAAAUUGGGUUUAACGAUUCUCUAGAAAUACAAAGUAGGGGGAAAAAAGAAUACAUACCUGACUAUGCUUUACUUAAACUACUUAUUUGUGAAACUUGAUUUCCAAAGUAACUUUUUUUUUAUUGACAAAUCUUGCUUUUGCUUUUCUCGAACCUACAUUCACAAGUGUUAACUUUUAAGUACAAUCAAAUAUAUUCUAGUUGUUUACCAUCUACAUGGACCGAGCAAACACAGAGGUCGUGAUUUUUCAAAGUUACAAUUAGCUCAUUGUUUGGAAAAAAUAUUUAUACGUACCAUGCAUAGAAAAGUCGAAGAAGAAACUUCAAUCCAAUUUGGCAAAUCUUUGUUUUUCUUAUCAAGUAUGAGAAAUAAAGAACUAGAUUACCUUGCAAUUCUCUUUUUGCAACAAUUUCUCAAAUUUAACCUGUUCACUUCCAACGCAGUCAUUGUUAGGAUUUAUUACAUAAUAUAGGUUGCGAGGAUUUAUCAAUAGAAAUGAUACAGAAUUUGUCGAAAACUACACUUGUUCUUGGCAACGCGUGUGAAUUGUUGCAAGAAUGCUUUCAACAGAUGACAUACGAUAAAUCUCUUCGUUUUCCAAUAUCGACAGAUUCUCCCAUGAAAAUAACUGUAGAAAAUUAUCAAUAUUGCUUAAAUAACCUAUAUUAAAAACGUAAGAUUAUUUAUGAUCAAUAUGACACGAAUCAAUCAAAGAAAUUAUCGAUUAUAUUUAUAUAAAUUACUAUAAUGAAAUGAAAAGCAUAACAUGUUAGAUUCAUUUAUUCGAUUUUCAAAUAUAAAAAUUCUAAUUAAUUGGUUAAAUAGAAACUCUAAAAACUUAUAAAAAUAUAAUAGAAAAUAACAAAAGAAAAUAUUUGAAAGUAAUAAAUUAAAGGUGUGUACUUGAACAUCAUAAUCUAGGAUUGGAAAGAUGAGACUUCUUUUCAUGCAAUCUAUCCCACCGUUAUCGCGUGUUUUUUGUUUUGAACACAGAACUCAAUAGGGAAAUAGAUUUUCCUGGCUUUAUGCCAACAUAACAUCAUUUCGUCAAAAUAUACGGUAAAUAUCUUCCGUCUAUGGACAUAUAUUCUUUCAUAAAUACAAGGUGUUUAGAAUUUGGUCACUGUCCCAACAUGACAUGUUUUCAAGCAUUAAAAUUUCCAACCUUGGGGUUUCACUAUGAAUUUGCUCAAUUAUGUUAGGAACAUUAAUUUAUAGCAGCGAAUUUACAAGUAUUAAAAUUAUGAAUAUUUUUUAUUCAAUUAGGUUUAUGUCAAUGUGUCUUCAUGUAUCAGAAAUACGGAAGCCUUUUGGCUUGGUGCCUGAAAACAUGACAUGUUGGGGUAGAUUAUGUUAGGAACCUUGGUUUAUAGCAACGAAUUUACUAGCAUUAAAAUGAUGAAUUUUUUUUAUUUAAUUAAAUUUUAUGUCAAUGUGUCUUCAUAUAUCAGAGAUAUGAAAGCUUUUUGGCUUGGUGUUUGAAAACAUGCCAUGUUGGGAUGUGGCCAAAUUCUUAACACCUUGUAUUUAGGAAAGAGUACCUAUCUGUAGAUGAAAGAUAUUUACUGUAUAUUUUGAUGAAACGAUGUUAUAUUGGCAUAAAGUCGAUAGUAUCUACAUUCCUAUUGAGUUCUAUGUUCAAAACACGUGAUAACGACGAGAUUGAUUGUGUAAAAAGAAGUCCCAUCAUUCUAAUCCUAGAAUUCGAGGUUCAUGUAUACACACUUAAUUUAUUACUUUCAUGUAUCUUCUUUUGUUUUUUUCUGCUAUGUUUUUAUAAGCUUUUAUUAGAGUUUCUAUAAUUAAUUAAAAUUUUUAUAUUUGAAAAUCAGCUCAAUGAAUCUAAUAAGUGAUGCUUUUCUUUUCAUUAUAGUAAUUUAUAUAAUUGAUAAUUUUUUUGAUUAAUUUGUAUCCUGUUAAUCAUAAAUAGUCUUAUGCUUUUAUUAAAGGUUAUUUAAGCAAGAUUGAUAAUUUUUUGCAUUUAUUUCCAUAGGAGAAUCUGUUGACAUUGAAAAAAAAAAGAUUUAUUGUAUGCUAUUUGUUAGAAGUAUUCUUGCAACAAUUCACACGUAUUGCCAAGACCAUGCGUAGUGUUUGACAAAUUCUGUACCAUUUCCAUCGAUAAAUCAUCGUAACCUAUAUUAUGUAAUAAAUCUGAACAAUGAUUUCGUUGGAAGUAGACAGGUUAAAUGUGAGAAAUGGUUGCAAGGUAAUCUUAUUUUUUGUUUCUCAUACUUGAUGAGAAAAACAAAGAUUUGCCAAAUUGGAUUGAAGUUUCUUUAACUUUUCUGUGUAGGGAGCUAUAAUAUUUUUCCCUAAAUAAUUAGCUGAUUGUAGUCUUGAAAAGCAAUGACUUCCAUGUUUACUCGGGCCAUGGAGACGGUAAGCAACUAGCUUAUGUGUUUGAUUGUGUUUAAAAGUUAAUACUUGUAAAUGUGAGUGAGAGAAAAACAAGAUUUGUUAAUAAAAAAAAAAAUUUGAAAAUCAAGUUUCACGAAUAAGUAACUUAAGUAAAGCAUAGCCCAAGCAUGUAUUCAUUUUUAUUUUUUUUUGUUUUAUAUUUUCAAAGAAUCGUUAAACCCUAUUUCAUUUUUUACCAUGCGAUUUCAGGGUUGAAUAUUGACCUUGAGAAAAGUAUUCAAGAACUCAAUGUUGUGCUGUUGCAGCAGUACUAUUGAUAUGGGAAAGUGGUAAAAUAAAACUAAAUAGGCUUUAUGCCCUGGAAGAUGCUCCUAUUUUGUAUUUAUCGUUGAGUUCCCCUCACAUAGUGGCUAAUCUAUGGAGUGUAAGCAAUGAUGUUGAUAAAUUUGGUAUGGUCUUAUGUGCGAGUUGAUUUUAAGGGAUAGCAAAUGAUUCUACCAAAUGAGGGCUAAACAUGUAUAUACAACCAUCUAACUGGUCUCCAAUCAUAUUUGACUAAUGACUAGAUAUAGAUCAAACUUUAAUGAUCAAUAUUUACAUCACAAUUCGAAAACAUGCUCAUAUAUUUAUCAUUUCUUUUUUGAAAACAUUCCAAUUUUAUCAUUUAAUAAACAAGCUAAAUUCAUUAACAACAAAAAUAUUAAUCCAAAUAAUGAAAAUUUGUUCAAUCACUAGAGAGUGAUAGUUACCUAUUUGACAUAAGUCUACGGACUAAUGGGCAAGUUAAGAUCUCCAACAGGGAGUUAAAGAAAAUCCCAUAAGCUAUAGUUAAUAUGUCACGCACAAAUUGGUUAAAGAAAUUAGAUGAUGCGCUUUGAGCCUACCGAACCGCAUUUAAAACUCCUAUUGGGAUGUCUCCUUAUUGAUUGGAGUUCGAAAAGGUAUGUCACUGGUAAGUUGAAAUUGAGUAUAAUGCAUAUUGGAUAACUCACAUGAUAAACCUGGAUAUAAAGGUGGUCGGGAAAAAGAUCCUUCAAACGAGUUUGAUGAAUUUAGGUUUGGGGCUUUACGAGAAUACAAAAUUGUAUAUGGAAAAAUCUAAAAGAUAGCACAUUAAAGAAAAAGGGUUCGAGGUUAGUCAACGAGUUUUGAUGCUCAAUUCUCGCCUCAAAUUCUUUCUUGGCAAGCUAAGAUCAAGAUAGUUGGAUCCAUUCACGAAUGGAGAUGUACAUCCGUGUGGCACAUUUGAGGUUAUAUCUCAAGAUCACCAACAAAGGUUCAAUAUCAAUGGGCAAAGGUUGAAAACUUAUUGGGGAGGUGAUUACUCCAAUGAGAACACAAUUCUAUCACUUGAGGAUUCAAAAUAAACUUAAAUGAAAAGUGAGCUAUAAACUACUAAAAAAAAGGCUUGUUGGAAGGCUUCUUCACUUUUAUUUAUUCAAUUUUUAUACAUUAUUUUAAGAUUUUUCAUGUUUUGUGUUUUUGUUAUUGAAUUAGGUAUCUUCAUCCACAACUUAGGUUUUUAGGAUCAUUCUUGCAUUCAUAUACACUUAAUAUGUGUUUUGCAUGAAUUUGGAGCAUUUAAAACAUGUACAAGUGAUUUGAGUGAAAAAAGUGUUUUAGGGGGUCAAAUACGAGAAUUUGGAGAAAAUUACACCAAAAGGUAACUUUUAAAAGAAUGGUUGAGUUUGAAAUAAUUUUCAUGUUUUUCCAUCACUUUUUAGGCCUUUAGGACAUAAUUUAGUCGAAAAUCAACGUUUGGAGACAAUCGAGGGGUCUGAAUAGUCAAAUUCCAGCAAAGGAGAAAUGUCCUCUUUGCUAAUAACCGACGCGUGACCUUGCGCAUGCAAGGCCACCAUAUAAUUAACAAGGGCUUAUAUGACUAAGGUGCGGCUGACCCGUGGGGUGGGUUUUAAAACCCACAUCGAUACACAUUACAUGCACACUGAAAAACAUUACCGAUACCCCCUCUCAAUUUAUCUUCAAAUUCUAGACAAUCUCUAAUCAAUUUUUUUCCAAAUUUCACGUCGGCGUUGAAGAUUUGACGAACUAGAGCAUCAUUCAGCAACUAUUUCACACUAACAUUCCCCAAAUUUCAAGAAGUCAAAAGUACUUGUUAUACUUUGAAGAAUUUCAUGGUUUUGCUAGCUUUUUACAUAUCUUGCUAUUUGUUGGAGUUUUUGUGGUUCUUGAUAGAGAACAGGAUUAGGUCAAUGUUGGGUUUGCCAUAUGUGUUGUAAAGUCAUGGAUUAGACUUGUUUAGGUUCCAAGUUUACUUUAGACUCAUUGGUUUGCACAUUAAGUGUUUGACAAAAGGCCUAAAUGUAGUUUUUGUUCAUGCUUGUGGCUCUAUUUAUAUUCCCUACCUACGAACCCUCGUCUUUCUUGUCAAUCGACGUUCAUAUUAUUUUAUUAUGGUUGGCAUAUCUUAUACAAGUAACUAAUGUUCAUUUUUUUACACUGUUUGAUAAGGAUGCCUUCAAAGAGAAAUAAUAUUUCUUCCACAUCAUAGGGCAAAAAAUGGUCACGAAAUCUUCCGGCAUGGCUCGCACUCGACUUGAUGAUGAGAUAUGUGGCAGUUUCCAACCCUUGAGCACAAGGCUAGAUUUGAUAAUGUGGUCAAGAUGGAAACUUUGUCCAGGACGACAGGUAGUGGUGGAAGACUUUCUAGGGUUUGAGAUGACCCAAUUGAUUCGUUUAGCAAGAUGGGAACAAGUAGCAGGCGAGCCUUACAAGGUUUAUCUUAUCUUGGUGUAAGAGUUCUACACCAACUUUAAUGCAGAGUUAGACAUUCUGGGACCGAACAUAUGCACCAGCCAUGGAUUCGAGACAAAUGGAUAAUGUUCUGGCCAGAAGUGAUCGAUACUUACUACGGACUACCUAGGGACAAUAUUGUUCCUGUACCAAUGGAUCUAGACAUGUUAUUUGUUACACAGAUGCUAUAUGGGAGAGACGACACAUGGCCGCUUCUAGAAAACGAAUUUGAAUAUCGACAUCUGACAGACUCCCUUGUGAUCCUAUAUAACUUCAUCAGUCACAAUAUCGAUACAAACUCACACUGCACCACCAUUAGUCAUCUGAAGGCCAAUCUACUGUAUCAUCUCGCAUGAGGUUUUAAGAUUCAUUGGGAUCUAUGGUUAUUCCGAGUGCUUUUUUGGUGUGAUUUUUCAGUAUUAUACAACUUAUCUGUUUUCAGAUUACAGAAUUUAGUUUAUUUAAUUUACAAAAUAAAUAUUUCAGCUUAUAGUACUGUGA
This 8288-nucleotide long non-coding RNA is filed under the name Olea europaea subsp. europaea. Lineage: Eukaryota; Viridiplantae; Streptophyta; Magnoliopsida; Lamiales; Oleaceae. The record is from RNAcentral.